GUCUGUGGUCAUGCCACCUUGAACAAGCCCGAUCCCAUAUGAUCUUGGAAGCUAAGCAGUGUCGGGCCUGGUUAGUACUUGGAUGGGAGACCACUUAGGAAGACCAGGUGCUGUAAGAG
Molecule: ribosomal RNA, 119 nt
Filed under: Pteropus alecto (black flying fox)
Lineage: Eukaryota; Metazoa; Chordata; Mammalia; Chiroptera; Pteropodidae
Source: RNAcentral